GAUGAACGCUGGCGGCGUGCCUAAUACAUGCAAGUCGAGCGAACGGACGAGAAGCUUGCUUCUCUGAUGUUAGCGGCGGACGGGUGAGUAACACGUGGAUAACCUACCUAUAAUACUGGGAUAACUUCGGGAAACCGUAGCUAAUACCGGAUAAUAUUUUGAACCGCAUGGUUCAAAAGUGAAAGACGGUCUUGCUGUCACUUAUAGAUGGAUCCGCGCUGCAUUAGCUAGUUGGUAAGGUAACGGCUUACCAAGGCAACGAUGCAUAGCCGACCUGAGAGGGUGAUCGGCCACACUGGAACUGAGACACGGUCCAGACUCCUACGGGAGGCAGCAGUAGGGAAUCUUACGCAAUGGGCGAAAGCCUGACGGAGCAACGCCGCGUGAGUGAUGAAGGUCUUCGGAUCGUAAAACUCUGUUAUUAGGGAAGAACAUAUGUGUAAGUAACUGUGCACAUCUUGACGGUACCUAAUCAGAAAGCCACGGCUAACUACGUG
RNAcentral lists this ribosomal RNA (497 nucleotides) under uncultured bacterium. Its description in RNAcentral is "partial 16S ribosomal RNA". It matches the Rfam family "Bacterial small subunit ribosomal RNA", at positions 28 to 507 of the family's 1533-position model. The record is from RNAcentral.